Molecule: long non-coding RNA, 201 nt
Organism: Capsicum annuum
Lineage: Eukaryota; Viridiplantae; Streptophyta; Magnoliopsida; Solanales; Solanaceae
Exons: 2
Source: RefSeq, a predicted model, not a curated record
UAUUGAUGGGUGUUUAACAAUGUAUUUAGGGAUUAAUUACUGAGUCACGUGAAAAUGUUGAUCCUGAUGCUCGCCCAUUUGCCAGAAAGAUCAAGGAGAUUGAACGUCAAGGACUAAGAGAAGGUGCAACUCUCGCAGAAGUGGUACACCAAGUGAAGCCAGAUGUACUUCUUGGUUUAUCUGCUGUUGGAGGCUUGUUUU